RNAcentral lists this ribosomal RNA (511 nucleotides) under uncultured bacterium. RNAcentral describes it as "bacterial SSU rRNA". It matches the Rfam family "Bacterial small subunit ribosomal RNA", at positions 32 to 517 of the family's 1533-position model. The record is from RNAcentral.
AAUCAACGCUGGCGGCGUGCCUAACACAUGCAAGUCGAACGCGAAAGUGGAGCAAUCCAUGAGUAGAGUGGCAAACGGGUGAGUAACACGUGGGUGACCUGCCUUCGAGUGGGGGAUAACGUUUCGAAAGGAACGCUAAUACCGCAUAACAUGCUGUCUUUUAACAGAUGGACAUCAAAGCCGGGGACCGCAAGGCCUGGCGCUUGAAGAGGGGCCCGCGCCUGAUUAGCUAGUUGGUGGGGUAAUGGCUCACCAAGGCAACGAUCAGUAUCCGGCCUGAGAGGGCGGACGGACACACUGGGACUGAGACACGGCCCAGACUCCUACGGGAGGCAGCAGUGGGGAAUUGUUCGCAAUGGGCGCAAGCCUGACGACGCAACGCCGCGUGGAGGAUGAAGAUCUUCGGGUCGUAAACUCCUUUCGAUCGAGACGAAUGGCCCUUGGGCUAAUACCCUGAGGGAGUGACGGUACCGAGAGAAGAAGCCCCGGCUAAACUCCGUGCCAGCAGCCG